RNAcentral lists this non-coding RNA (376 nucleotides) under Ceramothamnion japonicum. The record is from RNAcentral. Lineage: Eukaryota; Rhodophyta; Florideophyceae; Ceramiales; Ceramiaceae.
GGGGCUGUUAGGUUUCUACAUAUUUAUAAAUGUUACAAGUGAAUAGAGGAUAGUUUAUCUUUAAUAGAUAGUUAUAUGUUUUAUAAAUGCAAAACAUCAAAUCCAGCCUUUAUCUAAAAAUCUUGUAUUAAUUUAAUUUUUUAUUAAUUAUAAGUUUUAAUUAGUAGUUCAAUUAAUUAUUAUCCUUCCUAAUUUUUUGUACUUUCUUCAAGGAUUCUCUUAAUUUGAUUAAUCAUAUCAUCUAAGUUUAGUUCACGGACUAAUUUUUUUAAUUAUUGCCUCUAAUUUAUAUUAUGAUAAAAAUAUUUUAUUCAUUGAUAUAAUAUACUAGUAUGCAUUAUAAAUAUGGACGUGGGUUCAAUUCCCACCAGUUCCA